AGCAGCCGCGGUAAUUCCAGCUCCAAUAGCGUAUAUUAAAGUUGUUGCAGUUAAAAAGCUCGUAGUUGAAUUUCGGGAUCAAUAUAUCGGUCGUGCCAUUGGUACGUACUGGUAUCAUUGGUUUCUCCUUUCUGACGAACCAUGAUGUCAUUAAUUUGGUGUUAUGGGAAGUUAGGACUGUUACUUUGAAAAAAUUAGAGUGUUUAAAGCAGGCUUUAGCUUGAAUACAUUAGCAUGGAUAAUGAAAUAGGACGUUUGAUUCUAUUUUGUUGGUUUCUAGGAUCGACGUAAUGAUUAAUAGGGAUAGUGGGGCAUUAGUAUUCAAUUGUCAGAGGUGAAAUUCUUGGAUUUAUUGAAGACUAACUACUGCGAAAGCA
This 377-nucleotide ribosomal RNA is filed under the name uncultured Glomus. RNAcentral describes it as "SSU rRNA". It matches the Rfam family "Eukaryotic small subunit ribosomal RNA", at positions 569 to 953 of the family's 1831-position model. Lineage: Eukaryota; Fungi; Glomeromycota; Glomeromycetes; Glomerales; Glomeraceae. The record is from RNAcentral.